This 497-nucleotide ribosomal RNA is filed under the name uncultured bacterium. Its description in RNAcentral is "partial 16S ribosomal RNA". It matches the Rfam family "Bacterial small subunit ribosomal RNA", at positions 28 to 507 of the family's 1533-position model. The record is from RNAcentral.
GAUGAACGCUGGCGGCGUGCCUAAUACAUGCAAGUCGAGCGAACAGACGAGGAGCUUGCUCCUCUGACGUUAGCGGCGGACGGGUGAGUAACACGUGGAUAACCUACCUAUAAGACUGGGAUAACUUCGGGAAACCGGAGCUAAUACCGGAUAAUAUUUUGAACCGCAUGGUUCAAUAGUGAAAGACGGUUUUGCUGUCACUUAUAGAUGGAUCCGCGCUGCAUUAGCUAGUUGGUAAGGUAACGGCUUACCAAGGCAACGAUGCGUAGCCGACCUGAGAGGGUGAUCGGCCACACUGGAACUGAGACACGGUCCAGACUCCUACGGGAGGCAGCAGUAGGGAAUCUUCCGCAAUGGGCGAAAGCCUGACGGAGCAACGCCGCGUGAGUGAUGAAGGUCUUCGGAUCGUAAAACUCUGUUAUUAGGGAAGAACAUAUGUGUAAGUAACUGUGCACGUCUUGACGGUACCUAAUCAGAAAGCCACGGCUAACUACGUG